Molecule: transfer RNA, 75 nt
Filed under: Bacteroidales bacterium
Lineage: Bacteria; Pseudomonadati; Bacteroidota; Bacteroidia; Bacteroidales
Also listed under: 2 other names
Description: tRNA-Glu
Rfam family: tRNA
About the family: Transfer RNA (tRNA) molecules are approximately 80 nucleotides in length. Their secondary structure includes four short double-helical elements and three loops (D, anti-codon, and T loops). Further hydrogen bonds mediate the characteristic L-shaped molecular structure. tRNAs have two regions of fundamental functional importance: the anti-codon, which is responsible for specific mRNA codon recognition, and the 3' end, to which the tRNAs corresponding amino acid is attached (by aminoacyl-tRNA synthetases). tRNAs cope with the degeneracy of the genetic code in two manners: having more than one tRNA (with a specific anti-codon) for a particular amino acid; and 'wobble' base-pairing, i.e. permitting non-standard base-pairing at the 3rd anti-codon position.
Source: RNAcentral
GGCGCUUUCAUCUAGCGGUUAGGAUACCGGCCUCUCACGCCGGGUACACGAGUUCGAGUCUCGUAGGCGCUACCA